UAGUCCACGCCCUAAACGAUGCGAACUCGAUAUUUGCCCUUGUGGGUGAGUGUCCAAGCGAAAGCGUUAAGUUCGCCACCUGGGGAGUACGUCGGCAACGAUGAAACUCAAAGGAAUUGACGGGGCCCGCACAAGCGGUGGAGCAUGUGGUUUAAUUCGAUGCAACGCGAAGAACCUUACCUACUCUUGACAUCCAGAGAAGCCAGCGGAGACGCAGGUGUGCCUUCGGGAGCUCUGAGACAGGUGCUGCAUGGCUGUCGUCAGCUCGUGUCGUGAGAUGUUGGGUUAAGUCCCGCAACGAGCGCAACCCUUGUCCCUAGUUGCCAGCACAUAAUGGUGGGAACUCUAGGGAGACUGCCGGUGACAAACCGGAGGAAGGUGGGGAUGACGUCAAGUCAUCAUGGGCCCUUAUGGGGUAGGGGCUACACACGUGCUACAAUGGUCGGUACAGAGGGUUGCC
RNAcentral lists this ribosomal RNA (460 nucleotides) under uncultured bacterium. RNAcentral describes it as "bacterial SSU rRNA". It matches the Rfam family "Bacterial small subunit ribosomal RNA", at positions 791 to 1251 of the family's 1533-position model. The record is from RNAcentral.